GGCCACUUAGCUCAGUUGGUUAGAGCUUGGUGCUAAUAACACCAAGGUCAUGGGUUCAAUCCCUGUAUGGGCCA
Loxodonta africana (African savanna elephant) is the source of this 74-nucleotide transfer RNA. It matches the Rfam family "tRNA". Rfam says of the family: Transfer RNA (tRNA) molecules are approximately 80 nucleotides in length. Their secondary structure includes four short double-helical elements and three loops (D, anti-codon, and T loops). Lineage: Eukaryota; Metazoa; Chordata; Mammalia; Proboscidea; Elephantidae. The record is from Rfam.